AACGAACGCUGGCGGCAGGCUUAACACAUGCAAGUCGAGCGCGUAGCAAUACGAGCGGCAGACGGGUGAGUAACGCGUGGGAAUCUACCGAGCCCUAAGGAAUAGCUCCGGGAAACUGAAAUUAAUACCUUAUACGCCCUUCGGGGGAAAGAUUUAUCGGGGUUUGAUGAGCCCGCGUUGGAUUAGCUAGUUGGUGGGGUAAAGGCCUACCAAGGCGACGAUCCAUAGCUGGUCUGAGAGGAUGAUCAGCCACAUUGGGACUGAGACACGGCCCAAACUCCUACGGGAGGCAGCAGUGGGGAAUAUUGGACAAUGGGCGCAAGCCUGAUCCAGCCAUGCCGCGUGAGUGAUGAAGGCCCUAGGGUUGUAAAGCUCUUUCACCGGUGAAGAUAAUGACGGUAACCGGAGAAGAAGCCCCGGCUAACUUCGUGCCAGCAGCCGCAGUAA
Molecule: ribosomal RNA, 447 nt
Filed under: uncultured bacterium
Lineage: Bacteria
Description: partial 16S ribosomal RNA
Rfam family: Bacterial small subunit ribosomal RNA
Source: RNAcentral